UACCUCAUUUCUUAUAGGCUAUAGGAAUUAUUGUGCUACUAGCCAGCAAUUUUAUAAAUUAAAGCAAUUUAAAUAUAGUGAGUAUGAUACAAGGAGCAAAUAUUGGUGCCAGCAGCUGCGGUCACACCAGUCCUUGAGUAAUUUAAAUCUUUAAUUGGGAAUUAAUCUAAUUAAAAAAAUUAAAGUGAAAUUUAUUUUAUUUUGUAAUAUUCUUAGAUUAAAUGAAAUAAAAUAAAAGUAGAAAAAAAACUAGGAUUAGAUACCCUACUAUUCUCCUUAAAACUUUAAAUUAAAGAGCAGUAAAUAUAAAAUAUAUGAAACUUAAAAAUUAUGGCAGUAAAAUUAAUAACACAGGGGAACUUACUUAAUUAAAUCGAUAACCACCGAGUUAACCUACUUACUUUUAAAAUUUGUAUACCGCCGUUUAGGGGAUUAUUAAGUAGUCUUCUUAAAAAUGAAAAUAAAAAAACAGGUCAAGGUGCAAUCAAUAAGUUAGUUUUAGCGAGUUACAAUAUAUAUAAAAUUCUUAGAUGUGUGGCAGAGCAUGUAUCUUAGAUGGACUUGUUAGUAUUGAAUUAAUAAAGUUAAAUAAAGGAUUUAAUUUUAAUUUUGUGCACAAAUCGCCCGUCACUCUCCUUAAUUUGAAAGGAGAUAAGUCGUAACACAGUAGGUGUAGCUGAAGCUGCCCCUC
RNAcentral lists this non-coding RNA (691 nucleotides) under Meghimatium bilineatum. RNAcentral describes it as "12S ribosomal RNA". The stretch from base 295 to 691 matches the Rfam family "Microsporidia small subunit ribosomal RNA", at positions 752 to 1304 of the family's 1311-position model. Lineage: Eukaryota; Metazoa; Mollusca; Gastropoda; Stylommatophora; Philomycidae. The record is from RNAcentral.